UACCAGCUCUCCGAGUGGUAGGGAUGAUUAUUGGGCUUAAAGCGUCCGUAGCCGGCUUAGCAAGUCUCCUGUUAAAUUCAGCGACCUAAUCGUUGAGCCGCGGGAGAUACUACUAGGCUAGGAGGCGGGAGAGGUCAACGGUACUUCCGGGGUAGGGGUGAAAUCCUAUAAUCCCGGGAGGACCACCAGUGGCGAAGGCUGUUGACUAGAACGCGCUCGACGGUGAGGGACGAAAGCGUGGGGGAGCGAACCGGAUUGGAUACCCGAGUAGUCCCAGCUGUAAACGAUGCGAGCUAGGUGUUGGGGUGGCUACGUGCCACUUCAGUGCCGCAGGGAAGCCAUUAAGCUCGCCGCCUGGGGAGUACGGCCGCAAGGCUAGAAACUUAAAGGAAUUGGCGGGGAGCACCACAAGGCGUGAAGCUUGCGUUC
RNAcentral lists this ribosomal RNA (429 nucleotides) under uncultured archaeon. Its description in RNAcentral is "bacterial SSU rRNA". It matches the Rfam family "Archaeal small subunit ribosomal RNA", at positions 474 to 902 of the family's 1478-position model. The record is from RNAcentral.